CAGGGAGAACAUCUAAAGAUGAUGCAGCCAAGAUGCAAACCAGGAACCUGCCUUUUUCCUUAAAGAUCUGAAAUCUCCAACGGCAGUCUUUGACCAAGCCCAGGACAAGCAGCUGAUAGGCAGGCAUCACAGCGGACUGGAGCCCUUCUGAUGAAGACUGCAGAUGACAGUCGAAGCACGUAAAGUUUGGACAAAGAUUACAAGACUGAACAAGACGAAAACUACAUCACAAUCUCUGAGAAGAAAAUGCUUCACAAACAGUUCCGACCUCGUUCCAGCUGAAAAGCUGUGGUGGGACUUUAAGCAAGCUGUGCCAGAGGCAGUGCCAAACAACCCCAAUGAACCUAAGUUGUGUUGGAAAAAAAGAAAUUGGUGAAAAAUAUCUCCACAACAAUGUGAGACAGAUAAAAUAUUCCAAAAAAUGGGAUUGUUGGAGUCAUUGAAAAGUUUUUCGUGAUGGCAGAAUUUAUGAAUAUGCAAAGAUUCAAUACACCCAGCUGCUUCCUGCUGCUUUAAUUAACAACAGUUGCAUUUUGAAGCCCAUGGCUUUGUCUUUGUUCGCCUGUUUAUUAUGUCACAAUUACAUUUUGCAAAGUCAUUUUGUAGUCUUUAGUUUUCAGCUUUUGUGUCCUCCACAACACAGCAGUGGAGUCCCAGUUCUCAGCUGCCACUGCAGCCCACAUCAGGUUACUUACUCUAUGUCCACGUUACCAUCCAACUUAUCCUGUCUGCCUGUUUUAAUAGAAGCUGUUUCAGCGCUGCAUUUUCACUCCGUCUGGACCAAUUAUACCCAACAUUGAUUCAGUCCCAGUUGUUUUUUUCAUUCUCAUCCCAUUAGUUUGUUUUUGGGGACACCUGGUAUUUGUGGUAGUUUUUAGGAGGGGUUACUGUGAGAAUUGAUAUGUAGUUUCUUUGGAAUUGUUCUUUCGGUUGUUGGUAAUUGUCAUGUUCGCUUGGCGGGAAAGACCCAGAUGGAAUUUAAAUGGAUUUAUUUUCCUGGACGCGGAUCCGAGGGUGAGUGAUAUGAUGAUUGUCCGACUGGGUGAUGAGUAUGGGGUGACGACCGGGAGUUCUGGCUUGGAGUUGUGGCGUAGCUCGAUAUCUUGGCGUGGCUUGGAAUUCUUGGUUUGGCUGAUGUCGUGGUGUGGCUGGAGGUUAAGAUUGCACCUACAGGAAAGGACCCAGGUGGACAGCUCUUGGUGAUUUGUCCUGUAGAUGAGGCAAAGAAGCUUGGUUAAUAGAGAAUCAGGGAACAACAGCGUAGAUACUUGAUACAGAGACCAGGCUAAGCACCAUAAGGGGCAACGAACUGGCGAUGAAUGCUGGGACUGGAUCUCCUUAUGAAGGCAGGUGGAUGAUGAGGUGAGCAUCCACAGCUGGGUCCAAUCAGGAAAGCAGAGCAGAGUGGGGAGGAGAGACUGACAGAGGUACCAUGACAGUAAUAUUGAUUUUUUUUUUUGUGCUCUGUUGUGUAGUUAUCUUAAUUAGAGUCGUCUUUUCUCAAUAAAUCCAGCUUUAAUUAUAUUCAAUUCAGUUCAAUAUUUUAUAUGUAUGGCCCAAAUUCACAACAACAGUUGUCUCGAUGUGCUUCAU
Molecule: long non-coding RNA, 1593 nt
Organism: Oryzias latipes (Japanese medaka)
Lineage: Eukaryota; Metazoa; Chordata; Actinopteri; Beloniformes; Adrianichthyidae
Source: RefSeq, a predicted model, not a curated record